UCACGGAACUGAGGCAAAAGAACGAGGAGGACAGGAAAGGAGACGUUCUUUGCUUGCCGGCAGGUGUCCCCGGUUCUUUCACCCGAUCCCGUGUCAUCUCUGAGCAGCUGGUCAUCAGAUCCUAGGCAGGAAAGCUCCCCCCCCCGACCGUGAUGCAGGGGACGGGGACAGUGGAAAUGCGGCAAACCGCAGGGGCGUGCGUGCGCGUGGCCGGACGGUCGGCGCUGCCGGGGUGUUCGAGGGCAACUACAGAAUGUUCUCAAAGCCCGAAUGCCACAGCCGCGCAACGGCGGGUCGUUUCGGGGGGCCUCAGCCUCCGCCGCUCUGCUUCUACCACAGCUGUUUCCUGGAAGGGCCGCAGUCUGAGAACAUGACCCCAGCCCUCUGCCUGUGUCAUUAAUUCAGGAAAAGUUACAAUCACCAUACUCUCUACCCACCUCACUCUCAGCACAACCUCCCCACAUGGCUGGAUGUGGAUACUCACCUACCUUGGCAUCUGCUUCAAGAGAGGAGACAGGGGGCCUGUUCUGGAGAGAAGGAAGUCAACUUUUCUUCACUUUGGAACAACUGACGCAUUUCUCUUUCCUUCCUGUCGGGCCAGUGCUGAAGCAGGGCAGCCUCUGCGCCCGCCCAGACAGCUUCUGUGGUUGCCCCCACAUCGCCAAGGACCUCAGGAGCGAGGCCACCCAAAGCCACACCCAGGGGCUCUUGUAGGCCAACAGUCCACGGUCUUCAGCUGGAGGACAGACGAAGCUGACGUUCCUGAAACUUUCACCCCUACCAGGGAAACCCCAAGACAGACUAGAAGCUUCAAAUAUUCAAACGUUUUCACAUUUGCAAGGGGUUUCACAUUGACCUCAAGUGUAAAUGCCUGAUCACAUUGUGAAGAAUGGUUACAAACGCAAGAAUAACAAGACUGGCAUAAGCUUCGGAGGGGGGAGGGUGCACCGCGGGGCUGGGGGGAUUUCACUGAGGUAUCCCAUUCAAAUACAAUACGAUAAAAUCACAAGCAGGGGGAACACACCCCUAUCAAGAAACUACAACGGCACCCUGGAAGCCCCUUUGUCUGCCCUUCCAGUUACUACCUUCUCCCCAAAGAUAACUAUUUUCCUGAUCUCUAACACCACUGAGUCGCUUUCCUGUUUUUGCACUUUGUGUCAAUGAACGUAUAUAAUAUG
Long non-coding RNA from Panthera uncia (snow leopard), 1178 nucleotides. RefSeq lists it as uncharacterized. NCBI's taxonomy places the organism in Eukaryota, Metazoa, Chordata, Mammalia, Carnivora, Felidae. The transcript is spliced from 2 exons. The record is from RefSeq and is a predicted model, not a curated record.